GAGUUCUUUGCAGAGGCAAGAGAGAAGAAUCAGACAUCAAACAUCAGAAAGCUGCAGGCUCAUCUCAGCAGCUUUUGUAUUUUUAUCUUAGCAGGGAACUUGUCCAGCCUUAACCUUCUUUUUCCUGCCACUUUCCUGUCUGCUCAGGGGAGAUCAUUCAGAGAAGACUUCACAGCGUUUCCACUGCUCAGCCAUGCUACUGUUGCUCAUCUCAAUAUUGGGGAUAUUUGCCCUGAGAGAUUCCAGAGGCCAGUCAGUGACCCAGCCUGAUGAUCCUGUUUUGGUCUCUGAAGGAACCUCAUUGGAGCUGAAGUGUAACUAUUCCUACGGUGCAACUCCCUAUCUCUUCUGGUAUGUCCAGCACCCCAGGCAAAGACCCCAGCUGCUUCUCAAGUACUUUUCAGGGAACACCGUGGUUCAAGGCAUUAGAGGCUUCGUGGCUGAAUUUAAGAGCAGUGAAUUUUCCUUCAACCUGAAGAAAUUCUCAGCCCAUUGGAGUGACUCGGCUGAGUACUUCUGUGCACUGAGUGACACAGUGCCUGGGACCGCAGGAGGAGUUGAACACAAACCACUCGCGGUGGUGGAGUUUUCAGACACUCAAGAUCGCUUCUUGUUUUAUUUUAAGCGAUCUUUUGCUAUAUGAUUGAAAAUGAGGCAAAGAGAGCUGAGCAGACAGAGGUACUUUUAUAUAAGCCCACAGUUCCAUGUCUGGUAAAUUUUAUUUCGGGAACUUUUUACUUCGUUUAGAAACCAUGUAACAAUAAACAGUUAAGAUCCUAGAAUGAUGUUCUUAUCAUGUACUAAUCAGAUGCUUAAGGACUUGCCUUUAGGUUGACUGUUUUAAGGGAUUGACUGUAUGGGUUUUCAUUUACCACUUUGUAUCUUGCUCAAGACAGAAAACAAAAGAUGAACUGCUCAUGUCUCUCCCUGAAAAUUUGC
Molecule: non-coding RNA, 939 nt
Organism: Dama dama (fallow deer)
Lineage: Eukaryota; Metazoa; Chordata; Mammalia; Artiodactyla; Cervidae
Source: the annotation of a RefSeq genome assembly